CCAGGUUCCAGGAAAGAGAGGAGGGUCAGCCUGGGAUGGGGCUUCAGAGUCUGGUUGAACUCAGCAGGCUACUGCUGAUUCACCAGCCUCCCUCCUGCAUUCCCUGGUCCCGCCCCGUGGCAUUUCUGGUUUUAGAGCUCAUCGUCAGUAGACCUGCCUGC
Perognathus longimembris pacificus (Pacific pocket mouse) is the source of this 161-nucleotide long non-coding RNA. RefSeq lists it as uncharacterized. The record is from RefSeq and is a predicted model, not a curated record. The transcript is spliced from 3 exons. Lineage: Eukaryota; Metazoa; Chordata; Mammalia; Rodentia; Heteromyidae.